RNAcentral lists this ribosomal RNA (254 nucleotides) under uncultured bacterium. RNAcentral describes it as "partial 16S ribosomal RNA". It matches the Rfam family "Bacterial small subunit ribosomal RNA", at positions 524 to 776 of the family's 1533-position model. The record is from RNAcentral.
CACGUAGGGGGCGAGCGUUGUCCGGAAUCAUUGGGCGUAAAGAGCUCGUAGGCGGCUCGGUAAGUCGGGUGUGAAACCCCCGGGCUCAACCUGGGGACGCCACCCGAUACUGCUGUGGCUAGAGUCCAGUAGGGGAGUGUGGAAUUCCCGGUGUAGCGGUGAAAUGCGCAGAUAUCGGGAGGAACACCAGCGGCGAAGGCGGCACUCUGGGCUGGAACUGACGCUGAGGAGCGAAAGCGUGGGUAGCAAACAGG